RNAcentral lists this ribosomal RNA (508 nucleotides) under uncultured bacterium. Its description in RNAcentral is "partial 16S ribosomal RNA". It matches the Rfam family "Bacterial small subunit ribosomal RNA", at positions 28 to 507 of the family's 1533-position model. The record is from RNAcentral.
GACGAACGCUGGCGGCGUGCCUAAUACAUGCAAGUCGAACGCUUCUUUCCUCCCGAGUGCUUGCACUCGAUUGGAACGAGGAGUGGCGGACGGGUGAGUAACACGUGGGUAACCUACCCAUCAGAGGGGGAUAACACUUGGAAACAGGUGCUAAUACCGCAUAACAGUUUAUGCCGCAUGGCAUACGAGUGAAAGGCGCUUUCGGGUGUCGCUGAUGGAUGGUCCCGCGGUGCAUUAGCUAGUUGGUGAGGUAACGGCUCACCAAGGCCACGAUGCAUAGCCGACCUGAGAGGGUGAUCGGCCACACUGGGACUGAGACACGGCCCAGACUCCUACGGGAGGCAGCAGUAGGGAAUCUUGGGCAAUGGACGAAAGUCUGACCGAGCAACGCCGCGUGAGUGAAGAAGGUCUUCGGAUCGUAAAACUCUGUUGUUAGAGAAGAACAAGGACGUUAGUAACUGAACGUCCCCUGACGGUACCGAACCAGAAAGCCACGGCUAACUACGUG